RNAcentral lists this ribosomal RNA (360 nucleotides) under uncultured bacterium. Its description in RNAcentral is "bacterial SSU rRNA". It matches the Rfam family "Bacterial small subunit ribosomal RNA", at positions 29 to 416 of the family's 1533-position model. The record is from RNAcentral.
AACGAACGCUGGCGGCAUGCCUAACACAUGCAAGUCGAACGAAGCCUUCGGGCUUAGUGGCGCACGGGUGCGUAACACGUGGGAAUCUGCCCUUAGGUACGGAAUAACUCAGGGAAACCUGUGCUAAUACCGUAUGAUGACUUCGGUCCAAAGAUUUAUCGCCUAGGGAUGAGCCCGCGUCGGAUUAGCUAGUUGGUGGGGUAAAAGCCUACCAAGGCGACGAUCCGUAGCUGGUCNGAGAGGAUGAUCAGCCACACUGGGACUGAGACACGGCCCAGACUCCUACGGGAGGCAGCAGUGGGGAAUAUUGGACAAUGGGCGAAAGCCUGAUCCAGCAAUGCCGCGUGAGUGAAGAAGGCC